GAUGAACGCUGGCGGCGUGCCUAAUACAUGCCGGUCGAGCGAACAGACGAGGAGCUUGCUCCUCUGACGUUAGCGGCGGACGGGUGAGUAACGCGUGGAUAACCUACCUAUAAGACUGGGAUAACUUCGGGAAACCGGAGCUAAUACCGGAUAAUAUAUUGAACCGCAUGGUUCAAUAGUGAAAGACGGUUUUGCUGUCACUUAUAGAUGGAUCCGCGCCGCAUUAGCUAGUUGGUAAGGUAACGGCUUACCAAGGCAACGAUGCGUAGCCGACCUGAGAGGGUGAUCGGCCACACUGGAACUGAGACACGGUCCAGACUCCUACGGGAGGCAGCAGUAGGGAAUCUUCCGCAAUGGGCGAAAGCCUGACGGAGCAACGCCGCGUGAGUGAUGAAGGUCUUCGGAUCGUAAAACUCUGUUAUUAGGGAAGAACAAAUGUGUAAGUAACUAUGCACGUCUUGACGGUACCUAAUCAGAAAGCCACGGCUAACUACGUG
Molecule: ribosomal RNA, 497 nt
Filed under: uncultured bacterium
Lineage: Bacteria
Description: partial 16S ribosomal RNA
Rfam family: Bacterial small subunit ribosomal RNA
Source: RNAcentral